GUAGGGGGACAUAAAAAAAGAGAAGGAGCAGCAAAGAGGGCCUGGGGUUGGAGGAGGGAAGUGACUCACAGCAAUAGGGGGGCCUCCUGUGGACCCGUGUCUUGGGCAGGGGUUGCUGUAAUAAACACAGCAAGGCCCCAUCCAGCCGCUGGAAGAUGCUGAGUGUGAGCAGAGUCUGGCGAAGGUCGGGGGACAGGCCCCACUGCUCCUCUUCCAGCAAUUCCCUGACUACUCCAAAGUCCUGUCUGAGCUGCAGCGCCCCCUGCAGGCUGAAGGCCAAAGUACAAUGUAGCCAUUUGACCCUCCUGCCUCUCCAAAGGGCUCUGCCCCCCACCCCCCCAUCUCAACCCUUCUUCCAAUUCCAUUCAUCCCCUGCCACUGCCGCCUUUUCUCCCCACCUGAACCGGAUCCCAUGGGUGAGGAUGUGGUCGAGCCACGCACCCAGGACGGCUGUCAGUGCUGGGCCGAGGGUGGAGGCCUGGGCUUGGGGUGGCAGUCUCUGCAGUCCUUGCAACACAGGCUCCAGUACGGUGCGGACCACCAACCGAGCAUAUUGACUGGGAACGCUGGGCAGUUCUGCAGUGAGAGAAGACAAAGAGCAGGAUACGAAGCUAUGGAGAUCCACUGAACCUCUAAAUGGAGUGUUUGGAGGAAAAGGCCCCUCAUCUCACCUGGAGGUCGACAGACGACCAACCCUGACCUGGGUUCUCGAAGGGCAUCCAAGAGAGGAGGGAAGAGCUGUUGCAAAAGCUCCAGAUAAGCGACUGAUGAAGUAGGCUGCAGCACAAAGAAGCCAGCUCCUUCUCACACUCCUGAGGCAGGGAUGCUGGUGGGAGAAAUGGCCCUGGAGCCUAAAACAAGGCCUCCCUUUUCCACAACCACUGAUGGGGGAGAGGGGAGGCUCAUGAUGGGUGGAAAGCAAGACCUUGCAUUGAAAGCUCAGAAGCCUAUGGUUGAAAUCUGCAGGGCAUUCAAACUAUAGCGCCUGCUUUUGUAGUCAGGCAGGGAGAAGGAAGCGACCCCAGCCUUCCCAAAUGACCACCCAGGCCCAUCACUCACCCUGACCCAGUGCCUGACUCAGCUGUUGUGCCACUGCCCUUGGUUCCCUCCAGGGUCCCAGCUUCAGGUCCAGACUCUGAGCACAGGCUGCCCACAGCAGGGUCCAAUACUGGCUCCACAGGGCUCCAGCCCCUCCAAGUCCCAGUCCACAGCUGGCUGACGCCCCCAUGCCACGCACCAGGCCCAGCAGCCCGGGCAGCAGCUCCCGCUCCUGAUCGCAAUGCCUGCGGAGCUGGUUCCGCAAGCCCGAUCCCCUGAGCACCGCAUCCAGUCGACCUGCCACCUGGGAACCCCGCUCUCCCGCCAGGAGGAGGAGCACACGGGUCAAGGGGAAAGGGCGCGCUGCCCCUGGGACGUGGCUCACGGCUUUCCCCUGCAGUUGGUGGUAGGCGGGAAGCGCCAGUAGCAGCUCAGCGAGUUGGGAUGACAGGCUUGGGCUGGAGGGUGCCCGGCCCAGAGUGCGAAGUUGCAUCUCGAUGACAGCAUCCAGGCGUUGGGCCGCUAGUCCGACGGGGCGCGCCAGGAACAGAGGCUCAAUGGUCUCCUGAAGCCCGAUUCUCAGGACGGCCCCUCGGGAAGGGAGGGGUGGCAGGUCGCGGCACA
Choloepus didactylus (southern two-toed sloth) is the source of this 1662-nucleotide long non-coding RNA. RefSeq lists it as uncharacterized. The transcript is spliced from 3 exons. Lineage: Eukaryota; Metazoa; Chordata; Mammalia; Pilosa; Megalonychidae. The record is from RefSeq and is a predicted model, not a curated record.